RNAcentral lists this ribosomal RNA (425 nucleotides) under Rhizobium etli. Its description in RNAcentral is "bacterial SSU rRNA". It matches the Rfam family "Bacterial small subunit ribosomal RNA", at positions 44 to 517 of the family's 1533-position model. Lineage: Bacteria; Pseudomonadati; Pseudomonadota; Alphaproteobacteria; Hyphomicrobiales; Rhizobiaceae. The record is from RNAcentral.
AGGCUUAACACAUGCAAGUCGAGCGCCCCGGCAAGGGGAGCGGCAGACGGGUGAGUAACGCGUGGGAACGUACCCUUUACUACGGAAUAACGCAGGGAAACUUGUGCUAAUACCGUAUGUGCCCUUCGGGGAAAGAUUUAUCGGUAAAGGAUCGGCCCGCGUUGGAUUAGCUAGUUGGUGGGGUAAAGGCCUACCAAGGCGACGAUCCAUAGCUGGUCUGAGAGGAUGAUCAGCCACAUUGGGACUGAGACACGGCCCAAACUCCUACGGGAGGCAGCAGUGGGGAAUAUUGGACAAUGGGCGCAAGCCUGAUCCAGCCAUGCCGCGUGAGUGAUGAAGGCCCUAGGGUUGUAAAGCUCUUUCACCGGAGAAGAUAAUGACGGUAUCCGGAGAAGAAGCCCCGGCUAACUUCGUGCCAGCAGCCG